UACGUAGGGCCCGAGCGUUAUCCGGUAUUAUUGGGCGUAAAGAGUACGUAGGCGGUUACGCAAGACAAUGGUUAAAGCUCCGGGCUCAACUCGGAAAUCGCCGUUGUAACUGCAUAACUUGUCGGUAGCAGGGGCAAGCGGAAUUCUCGGUGUAGGAGUGAAAUCCGUUGAGAUCGAGAAGAACACCAAUGGCGAAGGCAGCUUGCUAGGUUACUUGAGACGCUGAGGUACGAAAGCGUGGGGAGCGAACGGG
RNAcentral lists this ribosomal RNA (253 nucleotides) under uncultured bacterium. RNAcentral's name for it is "partial 16S ribosomal RNA". It matches the Rfam family "Bacterial small subunit ribosomal RNA", at positions 524 to 776 of the family's 1533-position model. The record is from RNAcentral.